UUACAAGUAGUCAGAGCCCGUUAAUGGGUGAUGGCGUGCCUUUUGUAGAAUGAACCGGCGAGUUACGAUUUGAUGCAAGGUUAAGCAGUAAAUGUGGAGCCGUAGCGAAAGCGAGUCUGAAUAGGGCGUUUAGUAUUUGGUCGUAGACCCGAAACCAGGUGAUCUACCCUUGGUCAGGUUGAAGUUCAGGUAACACUGAAUGGAGGACCGAACCGACUUACGUUGAAAAGUGAGCGGAUGAACUGAGGGUAGCGGAGAAAUUCCAAUCGAACCUGGAGAUAGCUGGUUCUCUCCGAAAUAGCUUUAGGGCUAGCCUCAAGUGAUGAUUAUUGGAGGUAGAGCACUGUUUGGACGAGGGGCCCCUCUCGGGUUACCGAAUUCAGACAAACUCCGAAUGCCAAUUAAUUUAACUUGGGAGUCAGAACAUGGGUGAUAAGGUCCGUGUUCGAAAGGGAAACAGCCCAGACCACCAGCUAAGGUCCCAAAAUAUAUGUUAAGUGGAAAAGGAUGUGGCGUUGCCCAGACAACUAGGAUGUUGGCUUAGAAGCAGCCAUCAUUUAAAGAGUGCGUAAUAGCUCACUAGUCGAGUGACACUGCGCCGAAAAUGUACCGGGGCUAAACAUAUUACCGAAGCUGUGGAUUGUCCUUUGGACAAUGGUAGGAGAGCGUUCUAAGGGCGUUGAAGCAUGAUCGUAAGGACAUGUGGAGCGCUUAGAAGUGAGAAUGCCGGUGUGAGUAGCGAAAGACGGGUGAGAAUCCCGUCCACCGAUUGACUAAGGUUUCCAGAGGAAGGCUCGUCCGCUCUGGGUUAGUCGGGUCCUAAGCUGAGGCCGACAGGCGUAGGCGAUGGAUAACAGGUUGAUAUUCCUGUACCAC
This 876-nucleotide ribosomal RNA is filed under the name Staphylococcus aureus. RNAcentral describes it as "partial 23S ribosomal RNA". It matches the Rfam family "Bacterial large subunit ribosomal RNA", at positions 564 to 1447 of the family's 2925-position model. Lineage: Bacteria; Bacillati; Bacillota; Bacilli; Caryophanales; Staphylococcaceae. The record is from RNAcentral.